RNAcentral lists this non-coding RNA (45 nucleotides) under Schistosoma margrebowiei. The record is from RNAcentral. Lineage: Eukaryota; Metazoa; Platyhelminthes; Trematoda; Strigeidida; Schistosomatidae.
CUCCAGCUGACGAGUCUCAAAUAAGACGAACCUUUUGUCCUGGAU